This 1236-nucleotide long non-coding RNA is filed under the name Parus major (Great Tit). Its description in RNAcentral is "lncRNA (ENSPMJG00000001937.1)". The record is from RNAcentral. Lineage: Eukaryota; Metazoa; Chordata; Aves; Passeriformes; Paridae.
AGCCACAGCAACAUGGCGGCACUUCGGCAAUUUCCGGACCCCUUCGGCAACUUCCGGACUCCCUCGGCAAUUUCCGGACCCUUUCGGCUCUUUCCGAGCCCCGGUUCGGUCUCUCCGUCUAUUUCCGGUCCGCUCCGCUUACUUCCGGCCCGGUUCCGUUAAUUCCGCUUCGGCUCUUUCCGGACGAGCUCGGCUCUUUUCGGCUCGGUUCCGAUUCCUCCGGCCUAGUUGGGCCCAGUUUGUCCCAGUUCCAGCCCAGUUCGGCCCAGUUUGGGCCCAGUUCAGCGUCUCCGGCCGCCCCUCAGCCCCCGGCCCGGCCCAUGGGCUCCUCCCCCGCCGCAGGAGGAGGACGAGGAUGAGGAGGACGAGGAGGAAGAGCCCGGGACGGCUCUGAGGAGCCGCUUCAAGGCAUGGCCGGACCCUCAGGAGGGUCCGCUUCGCCUCCGGUUCGGCUCCGCUUCGGUUCCGCCGUUCGGCUCUUUCCGUGUCCCGCUUCGGUGGCGCUCGGCUCCGUUCGGCUUUUUCCGGCUCUUUUCGGCUCCGCUCGCUCCCGGCGCACUGCGGCGCCUGAGGGGAGGGGGGGCGGGACCAGCGCGGUGACGUCAGAAAAUGGGCGGGGCUUAACGAAACCACGCCCCCAGCCGGAACCGGUCCCUCCCCGGUGUCCCCGAAAGGGUCGCGAUGUCCCCAAGGGUGCCCCCGGUGUCCCCAAGGGUGUCCCCGGUGUCCCCAGGGGUGUCCCAGUGUCCCCAAAUCCUUCCCAGGGUCCCCAAGGGUGUCCCAGGGUCCCCAAAAUGUCCCCAAGUCCCUCCCAGUGUCCCCAAGGGUGUCCCCGGUGUCCCCAAGGCCCUCCCGGUGUCCCCAAGGAUGUCCCCAAGUCCCUUUCAGUGUCCCCAAGUCCCUCCUGGUGUCCCCAAGUCCCUCCUGGUGUCCCCAAGGAUGUCCCCAUGUCCCUCUCGGUGUCCCCAGGGUGUCCCAGUGUCCCCAGGUGUCCCCAGGGUGUCCCCAAGUCCCCAAAUCCUUCCCAGUGUCCCCAAGGAUGUCCCCAAGUCCCUCCUGGUGUCCCCAGGGGUGUCCCCAGGUCCCUCCCGGUGUCCCCAGGGCUGUCCCCAAGUCCCUUUCAGUGUCCCCAAGUCCCUCCCGGUGUCCCCAAAUCCAUCCCCAGCUUGUCCCAGUGUCCCCAGGUCCCUCCUGGUGUCCCCAAGGCCCUCCCGGUGUCCCCAAGGAUGUCCCCAA